UACGGAGGGGGCUAGCGUUGUUCGGAAUUACUGGGCGUAAAGCGCACGUAGGCGGAUUGGAAAGUCAGAGGUGAAAUCCCAGGGCUCAACCUUGGAACUGCCUUUGAAACUCCCAGUCUUGAGUUCGAGAGAGGUGAGUGGAAUUCCGAGUGUAGAGGUGAAAUUCGUAGAUAUUCGGAGGAACACCAGUGGCGAAGGCGGCUCACGUGGCUCGAUACUGACGCUGAGGUGCGAAAGCGUGGGGGAGCAAACAGG
Molecule: ribosomal RNA, 255 nt
Filed under: uncultured bacterium
Lineage: Bacteria
Description: partial 16S ribosomal RNA
Rfam family: Bacterial small subunit ribosomal RNA
Source: RNAcentral